CCCGGCGAUGUGAGACCUCAAGAUGCGUAGAACAGGCUUGGAACGGCCGGCCAGAGAGGGUGACAGCCCCGUAUGCAACUUGAUGAGGCUCUAGCGGGUACCUGAGUACCGCAGGACACGUGCAAUCCGGCGGGAAUCCACGGAGACCAUUCCGUAAGGCUAAAUAUUACCGACCGACCGAUAGUGAACGAGUACCGUGAGGGAAAGGUGAAAAGAACCCCGAGAGGGGAGUGAAAGAGAACCUGAAACCACUCGCUUACAAGCAGUGGGAGCACGAUGCCGCAAGGCCGUGUGACCGCGUACCUUUUGCAUAAUGGGCGUGCGAGUUGCGUUUCGUGGCGAGGCUAAGCCGUCAGGUGGAGCCGCAGCGAAAGCGAGUCCGAAUAGGGCGAUCAGUCGCGGGACGCAGACCCGAAGCCCGGCGAUCUAUCCAUGGCCAGGAUGAAGCGCGGGUAAAACCACGUGGAGGUCCGAACCCACUAACGUUGAAAAGUUAGGGGAUGAGCUGUGGAUUGGAGUGAAAGGCUAAUCAAGCC
Molecule: ribosomal RNA, 536 nt
Filed under: uncultured bacterium
Lineage: Bacteria
Description: bacterial LSU rRNA
Rfam family: Bacterial large subunit ribosomal RNA
Source: RNAcentral